This 431-nucleotide ribosomal RNA is filed under the name bacterium enrichment culture clone ALO1_GLFRUDD03FQJ4L. RNAcentral's name for it is "bacterial SSU rRNA". It matches the Rfam family "Bacterial small subunit ribosomal RNA", at positions 9 to 441 of the family's 1533-position model. The record is from RNAcentral.
GAGUUUGAUCGUGGCUCAGAUUGAACGCUGGCGGCAUGCCUUACACAUGCAAGUCGAACGGCAGCACGGGAGCUUGCCCCUGGUGGCGAGUGGCGAACGGGUGAGUAAUGCAUCGGAACGUAUCCUGGAGUGGGGGAUAACGUAGCGAAAGUUACGCUAAUACCGCAUAUUCUGUGAGCAGGAAAGCGGGGGACCUUCGGGCCUCGCGCUCUUGGAGCGGCCGAUGUCGGAUUAGCUAGUUGGUGAGGUAAAGGCUCACCAAGGCGACGAUCCGUAGCAGGUCUGAGAGGAUGAUCUGCCACACUGGAACUGAGACACGGUCCAGACUCCUACGGGAGGCAGCAGUGGGGAAUUUUGGACAAUGGGGGCAACCCUGAUCCAGCCAUGCCGCGUGAGUGAAGAAGGCCUCGGUUGUAAGUACGUCUUCGUCG